This 1549-nucleotide unclassified non-coding RNA is filed under the name Helianthus deserticola. RNAcentral's name for it is "partial external transcribed spacer". The record is from RNAcentral. Lineage: Eukaryota; Viridiplantae; Streptophyta; Magnoliopsida; Asterales; Asteraceae.
CUUGGGGUAGACAGGCAUGUGCUGGGAUGGCAUGCCAAGGCAUGUGCUGGGAUGGCAUGCCUUGGCGUGUGCUGGGAUGGCAUGCCAAGGACAAGCAUGUGCGAGGAAGGCAUGCCAAGGCCAAGGCAAGGCCAUGGCAAGCACAUGCAUCGCGAGGGAGAGGAGAUGGUUACGUUUACCCCAAGAGUGCCCAAGGGAAGGAAGGUGUCAAACGCAUGCUGAGCCCCACUUCGGUAGUUUGGCACCCCCAUAGGCAUUUAGGCAAGCGUGCCUAUGGGAAGGUCUGUUGAGCUUGUCUGCCAUGUUGGGUAUUAUUCUACGGACGAGAUGAUGGCACAAGGAUGCUUGCUAGGUAACGUUUUGGCACCAGACCGCAAAUGCUACUUCAAGCUUCAGCGGGUGGAAUCUGCCUAUAGGGACGUUGCUUGCUUGCUGUGGAGUUGGGACACGCCCAAUAUCUAUCAUCGACCAGGUAAUACUUGCAUGGCCCCAUAGGUAUAUUCAGGCAAGCGUGCCUAUGGGUAAAGUCCGUGGAGCUUGCCAACAACCAUGUUAGCUGUAGUCUGGACCGAUGAUGGCACAAGGAUGCUUGCUUUAAGGUAACAUUCCGGCAGCACAGCCAGCCCGCAAUUGCUAGUUCAAGCGGGUGGAAUCUGCCUAUAGGGGUGUUGCUUGCUUGCUGUGGAUUUGGGACACGCCCAAUAUCUAUCAUUGACCCAACGAAGUGCUCAACAUGGGUUGCUGAGGGCUAUUUUGGCACAGAUGGUUCACUUGUUUGCUUGGCUUUGAUAAAUGUUUAGAUUUCAUGAUGUUUGGGAUCCAAUAAAUUUAUGUGGGAAGCUGAGAGCUGGAACCCAAUGUCAUUCACCAGACGGCUUAGCUUCGUCAGUGUGUAUAAUAUGUCAUUGAACCCCAAUCCUCGAUGCCAACCUGAUUAUGACUUUUGGAUCGCAAUUAUCAUGGAUAUCAAAAACUGAGUAGGAGUCAUGGAAUAAGUGAACAAUUUGUAGCCUUUAUAGCUCUUAGCUUUCGCAUCGCCCGGUGUGUUUUGGGAAUCGCUUUGUGCAUUUGGUUGCCUGCCGUGCCUCUUGGCAUACGGUGGGUGCCACUUGCUGGGUGGUUUUCGGAAACAUCCACCGUAAAGGUGCAUGAGUGGUGUUUGGUUUGUUACGGGUGGUUGGCUCUUUGCUUGCGCAACAACUGCCAUCCGACUUACCUCUUCAGAUGUUUGCCUAGGCUUGUAUAGCCUAAGCAGAUUGUGGGUUUCCUGUGUUGCCUACCUACGUCACGGAAUUGUCCCGAUCGAUCAAAGUUGCUUUCGUCUUGUGUCGUCUUGAUGGCAUAAGAUGAACCAUGAAGCUGUCUCUUUGCACCGCAUCGUUAAUGCAUGCAUUGAUGUUGUGGCCCAUUGAGCAUUGCUUGGUACCUUGGAUACGGAACCUUAUGUGGGCAUGGGUCCUCAGGGAUCCUUUCUGCCCUCGUUUAGCGUUCGCGCUUCUCUUAGAAUGACUGCCCAUUUGGAAUGGGAAGCCAUUCCGGAUGGGCAGUC